This 30-nucleotide non-coding RNA is filed under the name Mus musculus (house mouse). The record is from RNAcentral. Lineage: Eukaryota; Metazoa; Chordata; Mammalia; Rodentia; Muridae.
UCAGAGGCCUGUGUACUUCAAUUUCAUUAG